CCCUCCAUCGCCUCUUGAAGCCCUAACAGCAGGCUUCCCUGGACUUGCUCACAUGCUUCUCAAGAUUGCCGAAGCCACAAAAGCAAAAGCUGCAUCACCAACUGGGACUGAGGCCCAGGACUCACACAACACUUCCGCCAUAUUCUGUUGGCCAAACUCAACCACCGGGGCUGUUCCAGAUCAAGAGGUGGUGUAGGGCGUGUGUCAGCCGACCGAAGAGGCUCCCACCUGCUCACCCUCCACCA
This is a long non-coding RNA of Ailuropoda melanoleuca (giant panda), 245 nucleotides long. RefSeq lists it as uncharacterized. NCBI's taxonomy places the organism in Eukaryota, Metazoa, Chordata, Mammalia, Carnivora, Ursidae. The transcript is spliced from 3 exons. The record is from RefSeq and is a predicted model, not a curated record.